CCUACGGGGUGCAGCAGUGAGGAAUAUUGGUCAAUGGACGCAAGUCUGAACCAGCCAUGCCGCGUGCAGGAAGACGGCUCUAUGAGUUGUAAACUGCUUUUGUACGAGGGUAAACGCAGAUACGCGUAUCUGUCUGAAAGUAUCGUACGAAUAAGGAUCGGCUAACUCCGUGCCAGCAGCCGCGGUAAUACGGAGGAUUCAAGCGUUAUCCGGAUUUAUUGGGUUUAAAGGGUGCGUAGGCGGUCGGAUAAGUUAGAGGUGAAAUCUCGAGGCUCAACUUCGGAAUUGCUUCUGAUACUGUUCGGCGAGAGCGUAGUUGCGGUAGGCGGAAUGUAUGGUGUAGCGGUGAAAUGCUUAGAGAUCAUACAGAACACCGAUUGCGAAGGCAGCUUACCAAGCUACUUCUGACGUUGAGGCACGAAAGCGUGGGGAGCAAACAGGAUUAGAUACCCCUGUAGUC
This 460-nucleotide ribosomal RNA is filed under the name uncultured bacterium. RNAcentral's name for it is "partial 16S ribosomal RNA". It matches the Rfam family "Bacterial small subunit ribosomal RNA", at positions 338 to 795 of the family's 1533-position model. The record is from RNAcentral.